GAUGAACGCUGGCGGCGUGCCUAAUACAUGCAAGUCGAACGAAACUUCUUUAUCACCGAGUGCUUGCACUCACCGAUAAAGAGUUGAGUGGCGAACGGGUGAGUAACACGUGAGCAACCUGCCCAAAAGAGGGGGAUAACACUUGGAAACAGGUGCUAAUACCGCAUAACCAUAGUUACCGCAUGGUAACUAUGUAAAAGGUUGCUAUACUACCGCUUUUGGAUGGGCCCGCGGCGCAUUAGCUAGUUGGUAGGGUAAAGGCUUACCAAGGCAAUGAUGCGUAGCCGAAUUGAGAGGUAGAUCGGCCAAAUUGGGACUGAGACACGGCCCAAACUCCUACGGGAGGCAGCAGUAGGGAAUCUUCCACAAUGGGCGAAAGCCUGAUGGAGCAACGCCGCGUGGGUGAAGAAGGUCUUCGGAUCGUAAAACCCUGUUGUUAGAGAAGAAAGUGCGUGAGAGUAACUGUUCACGGGUCGACGGUAUCUAACCAGAAAGCCACGGCUAACUACGUG
Molecule: ribosomal RNA, 512 nt
Filed under: uncultured bacterium
Lineage: Bacteria
Description: partial 16S ribosomal RNA
Rfam family: Bacterial small subunit ribosomal RNA
Source: RNAcentral